CAAGUGCGGAGGGGGCGCCCAAGAGGCUGACCUUCGACGAAAUCCAGAGCAAGACCUACAUGGAGGUGAAGGGUACCGGCACCGCGAACCAGUGCCCGACCAUCGACGGCGGCGUCGACUCCUUCCCCUUCAAGGCCGGCAAGUACGAGAUGAAGAAGUUCUGCCUGGAGCCCACCUCCUUCACCGUCAAGGCCGAGGGCAUCCAGAAGAACGAGCCACCGGCCUUCCAGAAGACCAAGCUCAUGACCCGUCUCACUUACACCCUUGACGAGAUGGAAGGCCCGCUCGAGGUCGGCGC
RNAcentral lists this long non-coding RNA (298 nucleotides) under Hordeum vulgare. Its description in RNAcentral is "long non-coding RNA (HVUL_LNC004237)". The record is from RNAcentral. Lineage: Eukaryota; Viridiplantae; Streptophyta; Magnoliopsida; Poales; Poaceae.